Non-coding RNA from Acanthosepion pharaonis, 96 nucleotides. NCBI's taxonomy places the organism in Eukaryota, Metazoa, Mollusca, Cephalopoda, Sepiida, Sepiidae. The record is from the annotation of a GenBank genome assembly.
ACAUUGAAACACUAGUUCCUGUACGAUCACAGGAGUUAAGCAAUGUUGAGGUUGGUCAGUACUUGGGUGACUGCUUGGGAAUACCAGGUGCUGUAA